This 900-nucleotide long non-coding RNA is filed under the name Amborella trichopoda. RNAcentral describes it as "long non-coding RNA (ATRI_LNC000667)". The record is from RNAcentral. Lineage: Eukaryota; Viridiplantae; Streptophyta; Magnoliopsida; Amborellales; Amborellaceae.
UUGGCUACACAAGCCCAUGUGGGCAACAGGCUUUGACAAGACUUAGCAAACCCACCCUGCCAAUAGUUUGACCUUGCUUUGCCCUCAACAACGGGGGCUUUGACAAGACAUGGCUACCACACAUCGAAUCGCUUGGGGCUUGCUCGUUGCCACCUAAGGAGCUCUUUUCUGCGUAGCACUCAAAGCACGCACAAGCCACUAGUCCCAUCGGAAAAAAUUCUCAUUCUAUUGGUAGUUUCCAAAGCAACCUACCGAUAGGUACCAUUUGUCACUACACUAUCUAGUUAGUUUUUAAAAAAUAGUAAAAAGUGGAUUGACUUUAGAAACCUAUUAGUUUACAAAGGUCGGUGGCUACCUAAGGAAUCGACAGGAGCGAUGAAAGGAAAUGGGUCACGUAACGAACAGGCGGGAUUACGAAUCAGGUCUAUGAGCUCUCUGUUUUAUGGCAGAGAUCUCUCCACACCAAAGAACAGGAACCGGAAUCGAAGCCCUAACUAAACUUCUUGAAAAGCCUUGCUGCUAGGGAAGGAACAAGCCACCCUCCCCUUGACUGACAGAUGAAGUACCUAUGUUAUCCUUCUUUCUACACUCCAGCCUCCCGCAGCUACAUGGAAAUCUGACUUCCUCGAUAAGCUAGUUUUGGUAUUUCCUACCCAUAUUUACAUAUUAGAAGAUGAACGUAUGAUUACUAUAUGUUCUUCUCCUUGGCGAGCGAUAACAAACCAAACACCCUCUCUCUCUAUUGAUCGCCCCGGGCCCCGGUGGUGAACUAGCGGCUCCUAUAAAUGGUGAUUGGGUGGUUCCGACUCCAAAGAAUGCUUCGGCCCGCCGGCCGGCUGGAGAGUUCUUUAUAACAGCGGCGGCACGACAGUACUGCUGGUGGUCCUAGCUACAACAUCG